AUCCUUAGAGGACACCCUUAAAAAAUAUAAAUAAAAUAAAUGUCACCGGUAAAAAAGUGUUGCAAUCAACAACCAACUUUUCCUUUCCUUACCUUCUUAUUUAUUCCUCGUUUUCUUCAACGCUUUGAAUCCACGUCACGUUCCCUGCUCUUCUUCUUCUCCUAUAAGGCAAUGUCCUGUGCCGGCUGCGACCGGAUAUGAGGUGAAAAUCCGGCCAAUCAGAAGAGUUUCUGCCCCCAACUGACAAAUACGCCCACUAAACAUAGCAAGAGAGCGUAAUGUUUCUCCGAGAGCGAACAGAUGGUUGCGGGGGGCGUGUUUUACUGCUCGCAGUGCUGUGUUCAGACGCUUCCGAAUAAAGGUGCACGCCCGCGAACAGAGCUAUGCGCUCUCUCGAUUAAGAGAUGCGCUGUUGUGAUUGCUUAAUACGCUCCUCUGAUUUUUGGCAGGAAUGUGACGCCAUACCCAUCCACCUCCGGAGAGGGGCCUAUGUACAAAAGAGGGGUCCACAUGGCCCAAACCAGCCCGCCAACCAGAGCCGCCCCAGGACGGAGCAGUCCCGACCCCCCAAUGAGCUCUGAUCCCAACCCCAUGAGCCUCCAACCCCGUGAACCCCAACAGGAACCUCCCCACAGGGCCACCCCCAACAAGGACACCGAUAUCGAACACAUGCCCCCGAACCCAAACGCCACGAAUCCCUUCCCCCACAGGGGAACACCCCCACAGGGGACAGUGGUUACCUCUUGAGGCGCUGGCUCCUAACCCCCUUUCCUCAGCCCCAGAGCGCAGAGCAGGUGCGCUUUACUACUGCCCAUACCUGUGUUCCGUUGGCCUUCUAAGAUGCUGGUGGCAGUGUGUGGAAGUGUCCAAGGAAUAUAACAGCAUUUGACUGAACACGUCCUCCAGAAGCACCUUGUGCAUGGGGCACACUGUUGCUGGGGACCUCGGUGCCGGUUGCCACAUUGCUCGGACUCUUGUCACUCGUAACUUUCCUGCCAACUCAAGAGGACCUGAGGACAUAGAGACAUUAGCCUACUGUGUCUGUACCUCUGAUUUACCAAUUUAAUACAAAUUAAACAGUGCUUUGCCUGGCAUCUGAGGUCUCAGACAAAUCAGCGUCUCCCUCCUACUCUGACGAUGCCACAAAAGCUUGUCUUUCCUAGUAUGGAGGCCAUCCAUUUCUCAGAUGGUGUCAAAUCGGGUUUCCGCAUCGGAGAAAUUGCAUUUCUUCGCUCUUUGCUCCUUGGUUACCAUUGUUAACCAUAAAAUAACAUUGAUCAGCUGGCUUAUUUAAAGACAAAUUGACAUUCAUGAAGUGCUUUGCAUUGACCAUUUAUGGUUGAAUGUGGGCAUGUAGAGGGCAGAACAUGAGGCAGAAUCUUGUACACAAACAUUGAGGUGCAGCUAUGAUUUAUAAAGGGGAAACUGAUUGCUGCUGUGCAUGGUUUUAUAUGUCUGGAUUUUCUUUUGGUUCUUUUGUUGCUCAUAUACAGGUUUCCUCAAAGAGCCAUUGUAGAUGCUGAUGGUGUGGGCAGAAAGGAUCUCCUGUAGCAGUCUGUCUUACAGCAGAUCUGAUGAAGCCGGAAGACACUGUUGUUGUACAACAGUCUCAUGAAGAGGAUGAUCAGGGUUCUCUAUAAUGUUCUUCAUUUUAUGAAGAAUCCUUCAUUGCAAAAUGUUAGUCCCUGGCUCUGAAAGUUCAAGGAGCUCAAGAAGUACAGUCUGCUCUGUCCCUUCUUGUAGACGGCUUCACAAUUGCAUUUCCACUCCAGUCUGUUGUCCAGGUGAACACCAAGGCAUUUAUACUCCUCCACCUCCUCCUCUUCUUCCUCCAUGAUGGAAAUAGUUUUUGACUUAUUUCUGUUUCUCCUAAAAUCUACAAUCAUCUAAUUUUUUUUAUUCAUGUUCGAGAUGAGAUGAUUCUUUCUACAACACCGGAACCUUCUUCUGGGCCAGGCUAAGGUUGAAGAGGUGCUGCUGAAUCCCACAGAGCUGCUCUGUACAGGCCUUCAGGACUCUAGGGCUGACACCA
Girardinichthys multiradiatus is the source of this 2032-nucleotide long non-coding RNA. RefSeq lists it as uncharacterized. The transcript is spliced from 3 exons. The record is from RefSeq and is a predicted model, not a curated record. Lineage: Eukaryota; Metazoa; Chordata; Actinopteri; Cyprinodontiformes; Goodeidae.